UUUGAUCCUGGCUCAGAACGAACGCUGGCGGCAUGCCUAACACAUGCAAGUCGAACGAAGUCUUCGGACUUAGUGGCGCACGGGUGCGUAACGCGUGGGAAUCUGCCCUUGGGUACGGAAUAACUCAGAGAAAUUUGUGCUAAUACCGUAUAAUGACUUCGGUCCAAAGAUUUAUCGCCCAAGGAUGAGCCCGCGUAAGAUUAGCUAGUUGGUGGGGUAAAAGCCUACCAAGGCGACGAUCUUUAGCUGGUCUGAGAGGAUGAUCAGCCACACUGGGACUGAGACACGGCCCAGACUCCUACGGGAGGCAGCAGUGGGGAAUAUUGGACAAUGGGCGAAAGCCUGAUCCAGCAAUGCCGCGUGAGUGAUGAAGGCCUUAGGGUUGU
Molecule: ribosomal RNA, 386 nt
Filed under: Sphingopyxis sp. S29
Lineage: Bacteria; Pseudomonadati; Pseudomonadota; Alphaproteobacteria; Sphingomonadales; Sphingopyxidaceae
Description: bacterial SSU rRNA
Rfam family: Bacterial small subunit ribosomal RNA
Source: RNAcentral